This 73-nucleotide transfer RNA is filed under the name Enterococcus faecalis. RNAcentral's name for it is "tRNA-Arg". It matches the Rfam family "tRNA". From Rfam's summary of the family: Transfer RNA (tRNA) molecules are approximately 80 nucleotides in length. Their secondary structure includes four short double-helical elements and three loops (D, anti-codon, and T loops). Lineage: Bacteria; Bacillati; Bacillota; Bacilli; Lactobacillales; Enterococcaceae. The record is from RNAcentral.
GCGCCCUUAGUGUAGUGGAUAUCACGUAAGAUUCCGGUUCUUGAGACGGGGGGUUCGAUUCCCUCAGGGCGCG